AAGGCCAUUCAAAAGAUGGCAGGAAGCCAUGAGUCUGACAGGCAUACAGCACAAGGGACACAGGUCAGAUCUGAAAUGUGAAUCUAUCACCUGUCGCGUGUAGGGGCUAUAUUAGAUCAGGGUUCCUCAACCUUGGCACUGUUGACACUUGGGCUUCAUGAGUGUUAGUUGUGGAGGACUAUCCUAUGCCUUGUAGGAUGUUUAGCAGCAUCCCUAGUCUAUCCACAAAAUGCUGCUAGAAACCUCUCCCCCAAUUGUAAAAACCAAGGAUGUGCUCAAACUUGGACACAUAUUCCCUAGAGGGUGAAACUGCCUUGAAAACCACUGGAUUGGGGACCAGCUUAGUUUGGAGGCUCUUUUGGUAACAGAAGAAAGGAAUUAGUGGGAUGACGGUAUAACCAUCAGCAUGGCAGAAGUAAUCCAACCACAGGGGUUUAGAAGGGUCCUGGAAGAGAACCAGAACAUCCUCAAGGCACCACCAAGAUUUAAGGAUGUCACUUUAAUGUCUGCAAGCAACAGUUACUGCAACUUUCAAAGAGUUCAGAAAUUUGCAGUUCUUUUUUUUUAAUGGACGAUUUUAUAGAAUACUAAA
Molecule: non-coding RNA, 592 nt
Organism: Callorhinus ursinus (northern fur seal)
Lineage: Eukaryota; Metazoa; Chordata; Mammalia; Carnivora; Otariidae
Source: RefSeq, a predicted model, not a curated record